CCCCUACUCCUCAAAACAUGGGACAUCCUGUGAAUCUUAAAGAUUGGCAUUGCCCCUGUUCUCUUCUUUUCUCUAGUUCCCCUCUCCUUAAGCGGGAUUUCAGCAUGUUCAGGACUACAAAUUGUAUGCACUAUGGGGGUGGGAGGAGGUCUCCUGGUACAAGUGUGCCCACUUGAGUUGGGUACUUGCAAGGUGUCUUUUGCAUAGUGCUACACCCUCUGUACAUACACACUGUGGGAGUUUUCUCUAAUAAUAGGUGCUCUGUGUGUGCCUUCCUCCUCUUUCCUGUUCACUUCCCCCCCUCAAGAAAUGGUAUGACCCAUGUUGAUUACCUGUGUCCUGGCCAGGAAGGGAGUCUGCAUUUCAGACUCUUCAGCAGUCCAAGCAAAAGGGCAAGGCUGGCUCUCCCGAUGGUCCUCCGGUUCCCCUUGCGCAGAAGUGCCAGCUUUACCCUGGAGUGUAGAACCUUGUUUGAGACACCUGAUCCCAGCAUCCUUACCAUGGAAGCCAACGUGUUGGUGAUGGGAGCAGAAAACGUUGGGAAGUCAGCCCUGACUGUUCGCUUCCUGACCCGACGAUUCAUUGGAGAAUAUGGGGACCUGGGUGAGUCUUGGCCUGCUUGUUGCUGGGCAGAUGUUGCUGAU
RNAcentral lists this long non-coding RNA (644 nucleotides) under Monodelphis domestica (gray short-tailed opossum). Its description in RNAcentral is "lncRNA (ENSMODG00000048276.1)". Lineage: Eukaryota; Metazoa; Chordata; Mammalia; Didelphimorphia; Didelphidae. The record is from RNAcentral.